GAUGAACGCUGGCGGCGUGCUUAACACAUGCAAGUCGAACGGUGAACACGGAGCUUGCUCUGUGGGAUCAGUGGCGAACGGGUGAGUAACACGUGAGCAACCUGCCCCUGACUCUGGGAUAAGCGCUGGAAACGGCGUCUAAUACUGGAUAUGUGACGUGACCGCAUGGUCUGCGUUUGGAAAGAUUUUUCGGUUGGGGAUGGGCUCGCGGCCUAUCAGCUUGUUGGUGAGGUAAUGGCUCACCAAGGCGUCGACGGGUAGCCGGCCUGAGAGGGUGACCGGCCACACGGGGACUGAGACACGGCCCAGACUCCAACGGGAGGCAGCAGUGGGGAAUAUUGCACAAUGGGCGCAAGCCUGAUGCAGCAACGCCGCGUGAGGGAUGACGGCCUUCGGGUUGUAAACCUCUUUUAGCAGGGAAGAAGCGAAAGUGACGGUACCUGCAGAAAAAGCGCCGGCUAACUACGUG
RNAcentral lists this ribosomal RNA (469 nucleotides) under uncultured bacterium. RNAcentral's name for it is "partial 16S ribosomal RNA". It matches the Rfam family "Bacterial small subunit ribosomal RNA", at positions 28 to 507 of the family's 1533-position model. The record is from RNAcentral.